GACGAACGCUGUCGGCGUGCUUAACACAUGCAAGUCGAACGAUGAACCCGGAGCUUGCUCCGGUGGAUUAGUGGCGAACGGGUGAGUAACACGUGAGUAACCUGCCCUUGACUCUGGGAUAACUGCGGGAAACUGUAGCUAAUACCGGAUACGACCCUCGGCGGCAUCGCCAGGGGGUGGAAAGAAUUUCGGUCAAGGAUGGACUCGCGGCCUAUCAGCUAGUUGGUGAGGUAAAGGGUCACCAAGGCGACGACGGGUAGCCGGACUGGGAGGGUGACCAGCCAGUCUGGGACUAGGACACGACCCAGACUCCUACGGGAGGCAGCAGGUGGUAAUAUUGCACAAUGGGCGCAAGCCUGAUGCAGCAACGCCGCGUGAGAGAUGACGGCCUUCGGGUUGUAAACCUCUUUUAGUAGGGAAGAAGCGAAAGGGACGGUACCUGCAGAAAAAGCACCGGCUAACUACGUGCCAGCCGCCGCCGUAA
This 484-nucleotide ribosomal RNA is filed under the name uncultured bacterium. RNAcentral's name for it is "partial 16S ribosomal RNA". It matches the Rfam family "Bacterial small subunit ribosomal RNA", at positions 28 to 523 of the family's 1533-position model. The record is from RNAcentral.